CGGCGGACGGGUGAGUAACACGUGGACAAUCUGCCCCCCGGCCCGGGAUAGCCCAGGGAAACCUGGAUUAAUACCGGAUGAGACGGGACCCGCGAAGGCGGGACCCGGAAAGGCGCUGCGGCGCCGCCGGGGGAUGAGUCUGCGUCCCAUUAGCUAGACGCGGGGUAAGGCCCACCGUGGCGACGAUGGGUAGCCGGCCUGAGAGGGUGACGGCCACAUUGGAACUGAGACACGGUCCAGACUCCUACGGGAGGCAGCAGCUAAGAAUCUUCCGCAAUGGGCGAAAGCCUGACGGAGCGAACCGCCGCGUGAACGAAGAAGGCCGUGAGGUUGUAAAAGUUCUUUUCGGGAGGGGGAACAACCGUGGCAGGGAAUGGCCGCGGGAUGACGUGAAUCCCGGAAUAAGCCCCGGCUAACUACGUGCCAGCCGCUGC
Molecule: ribosomal RNA, 434 nt
Filed under: uncultured bacterium
Lineage: Bacteria
Description: bacterial SSU rRNA
Rfam family: Bacterial small subunit ribosomal RNA
Source: RNAcentral